UAGGGAAUCUUCCACAAUGGGCGAAAGCCUGAUGGAGCAACGCCGCGUGUGUGAUGAAGGGUUUCGGCUCGUAAAACACUGUUGUAAGAGAAGAAUGACAUUGAGAGUAACUGUUCAAUGUGUGACGGUAUCUUUACCAGAAAAGGAACGGCUAAAUACGUGCCAG
RNAcentral lists this ribosomal RNA (166 nucleotides) under uncultured bacterium. RNAcentral describes it as "partial 16S rRNA". It matches the Rfam family "Bacterial small subunit ribosomal RNA", at positions 355 to 511 of the family's 1533-position model. The record is from RNAcentral.